ACAUGCUGGGCCUUGGUGCGGACACAUGUCUUGACCAACAUCGGCACAAGCCGGCCCUUAGUGCGGGCACUUACCUCAAUCAUCAUUGGCACAUGCCAUGUCUCGAUCAGCAUCAACAGAAGAUGGGCCCUGGUGUGGGCGAUUACCUCGAACACUAUCGGUAUGUACUAGGCCUUGGUACGGGCAGAUGCCUCGACCACCAUCGAUGCAUUAAUGCCUUAAUCAGCAUGCGCACAAGCUGGAAUCGAUGUGGGUACCUGCCUCAAUCAACAUAGGCAGAAGAUGGCCCUUGGCAUGGGUAGUCACAUCGAACACCAUCGACACACGUUGGCCUAUGGUAUGGGCACAUGCCUCGACCACCAUCGGCACCUUCUCACCCUCAGUACGGGAUAUGCCUGCUUGGAAAAAGUGUCCCCAUUUCAGACACUUUAAGGUCUACUGGUAGCAUAUCUGCAAAAUCUCUAAUGCUCUUUAUGGGUGGUGGUUCGGCACCCCCUCUCCCCUCCUUCCACGGGGGAGUAGUUGUGAAUGAUAGGCCUCCCAUUGCGUACACCCAGGGCAACGUCACUCGAGUGAAAUACAGGCCGUACAUGCCUUUUGACCAUUUUAUCGGAUGAUUGGUUGCUCUGGUGACCGACAGGUGCCCAUGGCCUCAACCGGUUGGUUGGGUCGUCCGGUCUGCCUCACGGUGAGCAUCGGUCUACUCGUUGCUACUACCGGUGAUAUGCUUCUGGACUAUUACCCGGGUCAUUCCUCUGGCACUAUUACUUUGAAGAAAUUAGAGUGCUCAAAGCAGGCCUAUGCUUGUAUACAUUAGCAUGGGAUAACAUCAUAAGAUUUUGGUCAUAUUGUGUUAGCCUUCGGAUCGUAGUAAUGAUUAACAGAGAUGGUCGGAGGCAUUUGUAUUUCAUAGUCAGAGGUGAAAUUCUUGGAUUUAUGAAAGAUGAACAACUGUGAAAGCAUUUGCCAAGGAUGUUUUCAUUAAUCAAGAAUGAAAGUUAGGGGCUCAAAGACGAUCAGAUACCGUCCUAGUCUCAACCAUAAACGAUGUCGACUAGGGAUUGGUGGAUGUUACUUUUAGGACUCCGUCGACACCUUAUGAGAAAUCAAAGUCUUUGGGUUCUUGGGGGAGUAUGGUCACAACAUUGAAACUUAAAGGAAUUGAUGGAAGGGCACCACCAGGAGUGGAGCCUACGAUUUAAUUUGACUCAACAUGAGGAAACUUACUAGGUCCAGACAUAGUAAAGAUCGACAAACUGAGAGCUCUUUCUCGAUUCUAUGGGUGGUGGUGCAUGGCCGUUCUUAGUUGGUGGAGUGAUUUGUCUGGUUAAUUCCAUUAACGAACGAGACCUCAGCUUCUUAACUAGCUAUGCAAAGGUGAUCCUUCGUGGCUAGCUUCUUAUAGGGACUAUGGCUGCUUAGGCCAAGGAAGUUUGAGGCAAUAACAGGUCUAUGAUGCCCUUAGAUGUUUUGGGCCGCACGCGCGCUACACUGAUGUAUUCAACGAGUCUAUAGCCUUGGCUGAUAGGCCUGGGUAAUCUUUGAAAUUUCAUCGUGAUGGAGAUAGAUCAUUGCAAUUAUUGGUCUUCAAUGAGGAAUUCCUAGUAAGCAUGAGUCAUUAGCUCGUGUUGACUACGUCCCUGCCUUUUGUACACAUCGCCCGUCUCUCCUACCGAUUGAAUGGUCUCUUGAAGUGUUUGGAUCGCGGUGAGGUGGACGGUUCACCGCCCCCGACAUCGCGAGAAGUCCACUGAACCUUAUCAUUUAGUGGAAGGAGAAGUCGUAACAAGGUUUCUGUAGGUGAACCUAUGGAAA
RNAcentral lists this ribosomal RNA (1815 nucleotides) under Durio zibethinus. Its description in RNAcentral is "SSU rRNA". The stretch from base 549 to 1815 matches the Rfam family "Eukaryotic small subunit ribosomal RNA". Lineage: Eukaryota; Viridiplantae; Streptophyta; Magnoliopsida; Malvales; Malvaceae. The record is from RNAcentral.